GGGUUGUGAGGUUAAGCGACUAAGCGUACACGGUGGAUGCCCUGGCAGUCAGAGGCGAUGAAGGACGUGCUAAUCUGCGAUAAGCGUCGGUAAGGUGAUAUGAACCGUUAUAACCGGCGAUUUCCGAAUGGGGAAACCCAGUGUGUUUCGACACACUAUCAUUAACUGAAUCCAUAGGUUAAUGAGGCGAACCGGGGGAACUGAAACAUCUAAGUACCCCGAGGAAAAGAAAUCAACCGAGAUUCCCCCAGUAGCGGCGAGCGAACGGGGAGCAGCCCAGAGCCUGAAUCAGUNNNNNNNNNNNNNNNNNNNNNNNNNNNNNNNNNNNNNNUGUGAGCUCGAUGAGUAGGGCGGGACACGUGGUAUCCUGUCUGAAUAUGGGGGGACCAUCCUCCAAGGCUAAAUACUCCUGACUGACCGAUAGUGAACCAGUACCGUGAGGGAAAGGCGAAAAGAACCCCGGCGAGGGGAGUGAAAAAGAACCUGAAACCGUGUACGUACAAGCAGUGGGAGCACGCUUAGGCGUGUGACUGCGUACCUUUUGUAUAAUGGGUCAGCGACUUAUAUUCUGUAGCAAGGUUAACCGAAUAGGGGAGCCGAAGGGAAACCGAGUCUUAACUGGGCGUUAAGUUGCAGGGUAUAGACCCGAAACCCGGUGAUCUAGCCAUGGGCAGGUUGAAGGUUGGGUAACACUAACUGGAGGACCGAACCGACUAAUGUUGAAAAAUUAGCGGAUGACUUGUGGCUGGGGGUGAAAGGCCAAUCAAACCGGGAGAUAGCUGGUUCUCCCCGAAAGCUAUUUAGGUAGCGCCUCGUGAAUUCAUCUCCGGGGGUAGAGCACUGUUUCGGCAAGGGGGUCAUCCCGACUUACCAACCCGAUGCAAACUGCGAAUACCGGAGAAUGUUAUCACGGGAGACACACGGCGGGUGCUAACGUCCGUCGUGAAGAGGGAAACAACCCAGACCGCCAGCUAAGGUCCCAAAGUCAUGGUUAAGUGGGAAACGAUGUGGGAAGGCCCAGACAGCCAGGAUGUUGGCUUAGAAGCAGCCAUCAUUUAAAGAAAGCGUAAUAGCUCACUGGUCGAGUCGGCCUGCGCGGAAGAUGUAACGGGGCUAAACCAUGCACCGAAGCUGCGGCAGCGACACUAUGUGUUGUUGGGUAGGGGAGCGUUCUGUAAGCCUGUGAAGGUGUGCUGUGAGGCAUGCUGGAGGUAUCAGAAGUGCGAAUGCUGACAUAAGUAACGAUAAAGCGGGUGAAAAGCCCGCUCGCCGGAAGACCAAGGGUUCCUGUCCAACGUUAAUCGGGGCAGGGUGAGUCGACCCCUAAGGCGAGGCCGAAAGGCGUAGUCGAUGGGAAACAGGUUAAUAUUCCUGUACUUGGUGUUACUGCGAAGGGGGGACGGAGAAGGCUAUGUUGGCCGGGCGACGGUUGUCCCGGUUUAAGCGUGUAGGCUGGUUUUCCAGGCAAAUCCGGAAAAUCAAGGCUGAGGCGUGAUGACGAGGCACUACGGUGCUGAAGCAACAAAUGCCCUGCUUCCAGGAAAAGCCUCUAAGCAUCAGGUAACAUCAAAUCGUACCCCAAACCGACACAGGUGGUCAGGUAGAGAAUACCAAGGCGCUUGAGAGAACUCGGGUGAAGGAACUAGGCAAAAUGGUGCCGUAACUUCGGGAGAAGGCACGCUGAUAUGUAGGUGANNNNNNNNNNNNNNNNNNNNNNNNNNNNNNNNNNNNNNNNNGCGAAGCUCUUGAUCGAAGCCCCGGUAAACGGCGGCCGUAACUAUAACGGUCCUAAGGUAGCGAAAUUCCUUGUCGGGUAAGUUCCGACCUGCACGAAUGGCGUAAUGAUGGCCAGGCUGUCUCCACCCGAGACUCAGUGAAAUUGAACUCGCUGUGAAGAUGCAGUGUACCCGCGGCAAGACGGAAAGACCCCGUGAACCUUUACUAUAGCUUGACACUGAACAUUGAGCCUUGAUGUGUAGGAUAGGUGGGAGGCUUUGAAGUGUGGACGCCAGUCUGCAUGGAGCCGACCUUGAAAUACCACCCUUUAAUGUUUGAUGUUCUAACGUUGACCCGUAAUCCGGGUUGCGGACAGUGUCUGGUGGGUAGUUUGACUGGGGCGGUCUCCUCCUAAAGAGUAACGGAGGAGCACGAAGGUUGGCUAAUCCUGGUCGGACAUCAGGAGGUUAGUGCAAUGGCAUAAGCCAGCUUGACUGCGAGCGUGACGGCGCGAGCAGGUGCGAAAGCAGGUCAUAGUGAUCCGGUGGUUCUGAAUGGAAGGGCCAUCGCUCAACGGAUAAAAGGUACUCCGGGGAUAACAGGCUGAUACCGCCCAAGAGUUCAUAUCGACGGCGGUGUUUGGCACCUCGAUGUCGGCUCAUCACAUCCUGGGGCUGAAGUAGGUCCCAAGGGUAUGGCUGUUCGCCAUUUAAAGUGGUACGCGAGCUGGGUUUAGAACGUCGUGAGACAGUUCGGUCCCUAUCUGCCGUGGGCGCUGGAGAACUGAGGGGGGCUGCUCCUAGUACGAGAGGACCGGAGUGGACGCAUCACUGGUGUUCGGGUUGUCAUGCCAAUGGCACUGCCCGGUAGCUAAAUGCGGAAGAGAUAAGUGCUGAAAGCAUCUAAGCACGAAACUUGCCCCGAGAUGAGUUCUCCCUGACUCCUUGAGAGUCCUGAAGGAACGUUGAAGACGACGACGUUGAUAGGCCGGGUGUGUAAGCGCAGCGAUGCGUUGAGCUAACCGGUACUAAUGAACCGUGAGGCUUAAC
RNAcentral lists this ribosomal RNA (2765 nucleotides) under Escherichia coli. Its description in RNAcentral is "partial 23S ribosomal RNA". It matches the Rfam family "Bacterial large subunit ribosomal RNA". Lineage: Bacteria; Pseudomonadati; Pseudomonadota; Gammaproteobacteria; Enterobacterales; Enterobacteriaceae. The record is from RNAcentral.